Molecule: ribosomal RNA, 292 nt
Filed under: uncultured microorganism
Description: partial 16S ribosomal RNA
Rfam family: Bacterial small subunit ribosomal RNA
Source: RNAcentral
GUGCCAGCAGCCGCGGUAAUACGGAGGGUCCGAGCGUUAAUCGGAAUUACUGGGCGUAAAGCGUGCGCAGGCGGUUUGUUAAGCCAGAUGUGAAAUCCCCGGGCUCAACCUGGGAAUUGCAUUUGGAACUGGCGAACUAGAGUCUUGUAGAGGGGGGUAGAAUUUCAGGUGUAGCGGUGAAAUGCGUAGAUAUCUGAAGGAAUACCAGUGGCGAAGGCGGCCCCCUGGACAAAGACUGACGCUCAUGCACGAAAGCGUGGGGAGCAAACAGGAUUAGAUACCCUGGUAGUCC